RNAcentral lists this transfer RNA (71 nucleotides) under Enteropogon dolichostachyus. Its description in RNAcentral is "tRNA-Gly". It matches the Rfam family "tRNA". From Rfam's summary of the family: Transfer RNA (tRNA) molecules are approximately 80 nucleotides in length. Lineage: Eukaryota; Viridiplantae; Streptophyta; Magnoliopsida; Poales; Poaceae. The record is from RNAcentral.
GCGAGCGUAGUUCAAUGGUAAAACAUCUCCUUGCCAAGGAGAAAGCACGGGUUCGAUUCCCGUCGCUCGCC